RNAcentral lists this ribosomal RNA (497 nucleotides) under uncultured bacterium. Its description in RNAcentral is "partial 16S ribosomal RNA". It matches the Rfam family "Bacterial small subunit ribosomal RNA", at positions 28 to 507 of the family's 1533-position model. The record is from RNAcentral.
GAUGAACGCUGGCGGCGUGCCUAAUACAUGCAAGUCGAGCGAACAGACGAGGAGCUUGCUCCUCUGACGUUAGCGGCGGACGGGUGAGCAACACGUGGAUAACCUACCUAUAAGACUGGGAUAACUUCGGGAAACCGGAGCUAAUACCGGAUAAUAUAUUGAACCGCAUGGUUCAAUAGUGAAAGACGGUUUUGCUGUCACUUAUAGAUGGAUCCGCGCCGCAUUAGCUAGUUGGUAAGGUAACGGCUUACCAAGGCAACGAUGCGUAGCCGACCUGAGAGGGUGAUCGGCUACACUGGAACUGAGACACGGUCCAGACUCCUACGGGAGGCAGCAGUAGGGAAUCUUCCGCAAUGGGCGAAAGCCUGACGGAGCAACGCCGCGUGAGUGAUGAAGGUCCUCGGAUCGUAAAACUCUGUUAUUAGGGAAGAACAAAUGUGUAAGUAACUAUGCACGUCUUGACGGUACCUAAUCAGAAAGCCACGGCUAACUACGUG